Molecule: non-coding RNA, 54 nt
Organism: Salmo salar (Atlantic salmon)
Lineage: Eukaryota; Metazoa; Chordata; Actinopteri; Salmoniformes; Salmonidae
Source: Rfam
UGCAUUCACUACUGUAAGUCGCUCUGGAUAAGAGCUUCUGCUAAAUGACUUAAA